AACACCAUGCAAGUCGAGCGGGCGAGGUUGCUUCGGUAACUGAGCUAGCGGCGGACGGGUGAGUAAAGCUUAGGAAUCUGCCUAUUAGUGGGGGACAACAUUCCGAAAGGGAUGCUAAUACCGCAUACGUCCUACGGGAGAAAGCAGGGGAUCACUUGUGACCUUGCGCUAAUAGAUGAGCCUAAGUCGGAUUAGCUAGUUGGUGGGGUAAAGGCCUACCAAGGCGACGAUCUGUAGCGGGUCUGAGAGGAUGAUCCGCCACACUGGGACUGAGACACGGCCCAGACUCCUACGGGAGGCAGCAGUGGGGAAUAUUGGACAAUGGGGGGAACCCUGAUCCAGCCAUGCCGCGUGUGUGAAGAAGGCCUUUUGGUUGUAAAGCACUUUAAGCGAGGAGGAGGCUUACCUGGUUAAUACCUGGGAUAAGUGGACGUUACUCGCAGAAUAAGCACCGGCUAACUCUGUGCCAGCAGCCGCGGUAAUACAGAGGGUGCGAGCGUUAAUCGGAUUUACUGGGCGUAAAGCGCGCGUAGGUGGUUAAUUAAGUCAAAUGUGAAAUCCCCGAGCUUAACUUGGGAAUUGCAUUCGAUACUGGUUAGCUAGAGUAUGGGAGAGGAUGGUAGAAUUCCAGGUGUAGCGGUGAAAUGCGUAGAGAUCUGGAGGAAUACCGAUGGCGAAGGCAGCCAUCUGGCCUAAUACUGACACUGAGGUGCGAAAGCAUGGGGAGCAAACAGGAUUAGAUACCCUGGUAGUCCAUGCCGUAAACGAUGUCUACUAGCCGUUGGGGGAUUUGAUCCUUUAGUGGCGCAGCUAACGCGAUAAGUAGACCGCCUGGGGAGUACGGUCGCAAGACUAAAACUCAAAUGAAUUGACGGGGGCCCGCACAAGCGGUGGAGCAUGUGGUUUAAUUCGAUGCAACGCGAAGAACCUUACCUGGCCUUGACAUAGUAGAGACUUUCCAGAGAUGGAUUGGUGCCUUCGGGAAUCUACAUACAGGUGC
Molecule: ribosomal RNA, 1000 nt
Filed under: Acinetobacter sp. NF402
Lineage: Bacteria; Pseudomonadati; Pseudomonadota; Gammaproteobacteria; Moraxellales; Moraxellaceae
Description: bacterial SSU rRNA
Rfam family: Bacterial small subunit ribosomal RNA
Source: RNAcentral